AGAGUCAGAGGGAUUUGUCACUUCGGAUGAUGGAUCCUUCCCCUGAACUUUCUCCUUGGUUAUCCAACCCUCAAUCCUUUCCAAUCUCUUGGCCAUGGCUUUCUGUCCCAAGGCAAGCCCUUGCACAAUACUGAACAAAUCUCUCACCAUCUCUUUCAGUUCGAGGAUGUCGGCGUUGGGAGGAUCCAUCAGUCCGGAUUUGUUGCCCUUAGCAGGAUGUCUGAGCAAACGAUCUAUGCG
RNAcentral lists this long non-coding RNA (240 nucleotides) under Lathyrus oleraceus (garden pea). Its description in RNAcentral is "Pisum sativum (pea) long non-coding RNA (PSAT_LNC041001)". The record is from RNAcentral. Lineage: Eukaryota; Viridiplantae; Streptophyta; Magnoliopsida; Fabales; Fabaceae.